This 882-nucleotide ribosomal RNA is filed under the name undescribed antipatharian. RNAcentral describes it as "partial 16S ribosomal RNA". It matches the Rfam family "Bacterial large subunit ribosomal RNA", at positions 1839 to 2578 of the family's 2925-position model. Lineage: Eukaryota; Metazoa; Cnidaria; Anthozoa; Antipatharia. The record is from RNAcentral.
AGAAGUWUGGAGGGUGAGGCCUGCCCAAUGGUUGUAUCUAAAAGAGUCGGUGAGAGCCGACUUCAUAAAGACAAUUGAAUGGCCGCGGUAACACUGACCGUGAUAAUGUAGCGUAAUCAAUAGCCAAUUAAUUGUUGGCCGGUAUGAAUGGCGUCACGAAGGCCCUACUGUCUUAAGAAGAUUCCCAGUGAAAUUGAAUUCGUAGUGAAGAUGCUACGUCCAAAUUGUUAGACGAAGAGACCCCAUUGAGCUUUACUGGAAACUUAUAUGGCUGAAAUAUAUUCUUGCUCAUAAAGAUUGAUCUCACAGAGAUUUAUUUGGAGUAAGGAGUUAAAACUUAAAUAAAUAGCUAAAAUUCUGUGGUGUGAGACAUCUUGUCAGAGUCUUGUUCUAAGAUUUAACCGUUUUAGACCAUCGGCCAAAGCCGUGGGAUAAUGGGGCCCACUCUUUUAUUUUAAGAGAGCUAACUCUCCUUCAUGAUCUUUAAUCUAAUGGUGAGAGGAACGACGUAAGUUGGACAGUUUGGUUGGGGCGACCGCCUUUUAAAAAGUAACGAAGGUGAGCUUAAGGUGCAUAAUUAAUAGCAACCGCCUGACUGCAAGGGGGACGUCCCGAGCAGACACCGGAAGCCGCCAAGAACCAUUAUAUGGUUCCGGAUUUUCGAUUUCAUGAUUGAAGACCUGGACACAAGCUCUUAAGGCGGAGAAAGGUGGGCUAUAAUGACCCGUUAGUUUAGAGUGGAAUAGCUAACGAUCAACGGAUAAAAGCUACCAUGGGGAUAACAGCGUAAUAUCGUUAGAGAGCUUUCAUCGACGACGAUGUUUGCGACCUCGAUGUUGAAUUGCAGCAUCCUGGGGUGCAGUCGCUCCCAAGGGUUGGUCU